ACACAUGCAAGUCGAGGGGCAGCAUGGUCUUAGCUUGCUAAGGCCGAUGGCGACCGGCGCACGGGUGAGUAACACGUAUCCAACCUGCCGUCUACUCUUGGACAGCCUUCUGAAAGGAAGAUUAAUACAAGAUGGCAUCAUGAGUCCGCAUGUUCACAUGAUUAAAGGUAUUCCGGUAGACGAUGGGGAUGCGUUCCAUUAGAUAGUAGGCGGGGUAACGGCCCACCUAGUCUUCGAUGGAUAGGGGUUCUGAGAGGAAGGUCCCCCACAUUGGAACUGAGACACGGUCCAAACUCCUACGGGAGGCAGCAGUGAGGGAUAUUGGUCAAUGGGCGCAGGCCUGAACCAGCCAAGUAGCGUGAAGGAUGACUGCCCUAUGGGUUGUAAACUUCUUUUAUAAAGGAAUAAAGUCGGGUAUGUAUACCCGUUUGCAUGUACUUUAUGAAUAAGGAUCGGCUAACUCCGUGCCAGCAGCCGCGGUAAUACGGAGGAUCCGAGCGUUAUCCGGAUUUAUUGGGUUUAAAGGGAGCGUAGAUGGAUGUUUAAGUCAGUUGUGAAAGUUUGCGGCUCAACCGUAAAAUUGCAGUUGAUACUGGAUAUCUUGAGUGCAGUUGAGGCAGGCGGAAUUCGUGGUGUAGCGGUGAAAUGCUUAGAUAUCACGAAGAACUCCGAUUGCGAAGGCAGCCUGCUAAGCUGCAACUGACAUUGAGGCUCGAAAGUGUGGGUAUCAAACAGGAUUAGAUACCCUGGUAGUCCACACGGUAAACGAUGAAUACUCGCUGUUUGCGAUAUACGGCAAGCGGCCAAGCGAAAGCGUUAAGUAUUCCACCUGGGGAGUACGCCGGCAACGGUGAAACUCAAAGGAAUUGACGGGGG
This 876-nucleotide ribosomal RNA is filed under the name uncultured bacterium. RNAcentral's name for it is "bacterial SSU rRNA". It matches the Rfam family "Bacterial small subunit ribosomal RNA", at positions 51 to 919 of the family's 1533-position model. The record is from RNAcentral.